This 492-nucleotide ribosomal RNA is filed under the name uncultured bacterium. Its description in RNAcentral is "partial 16S ribosomal RNA". It matches the Rfam family "Bacterial small subunit ribosomal RNA", at positions 29 to 507 of the family's 1533-position model. The record is from RNAcentral.
AUUGAACGCUGGCGGCAUGCUUUACACAUGCAAGUCGAACGGUAACAGGCCUUCGGGUGCUGACGAGUGGCGAACGGGUGCGUAAUGCAUCGGAACGUACCCAGAGGUGGGGGAUAACGCAGCGAAAGCUGUGCUAAUACCGCAUGUGGUCUGAGGAUGAAAGCGGGGGACCGAGCAGCAAUGUUUGGCCUCGCGCCUUUGGAGCGGCCGAUGUCGGAUUAGCUAGUUGGUGGGGUAAAGGCCUACCAAGGCGACGAUCCGUAGCUGGUCUGAGAGGACGACCAGCCACACUGGGACUGAGACACGGCCCAGACUCCUACGGGAGGCAGCAGUGGGGAAUUUUGGACAAUGGGCGCAAGCCUGAUCCAGCAAUGCCGCGUGCGGGAAGAAGGCCUUCGGGUUGUAAACCGCUUUUGGCAGGAACGAAACGGUGUCCGCUAAUACCGGGCGCUAAUGACGGUACCUGCAGAAUAAGCACCGGCUAACUACGUG